CUUUUAUAGAAUACCACCCUGCAUCCCGCUGCUGGCUUGGCUCUGAAGCUAAGCAGGGUUGGUCAUGGUCGGUCCCUGGAUGGGAGACCAGAUGCUGCAGGAAGUGCUGUUGGAGG
This 116-nucleotide ribosomal RNA is filed under the name Hucho hucho (huchen). Lineage: Eukaryota; Metazoa; Chordata; Actinopteri; Salmoniformes; Salmonidae. The record is from RNAcentral.